UGCAUCACGUCGGGCGCUGCGAUCGUGACCUUAGGAAGUCCUUUGGCGGUGAUUUUCUUCAGAAAGGCAAAAUCAUCGGCCACGAUGCGCUGCUUGCGCCGCAGCGGCGCCUUCGCAUAGGGCGAGGACGCGAUCCCGAUGACGCGGCUCUCGUCGCGGAAGCUCAGCGUGCCGUCGCGCAGGCCGAAGCCGUCGACC
Molecule: unclassified non-coding RNA, 198 nt
Filed under: fungal sp.
Lineage: Eukaryota; Fungi
Description: partial internal transcribed spacer region
Source: RNAcentral